CCUACGGGCGGCAGCAGUGAGGAAUAUUGGUCAAUGGACGAGAGUCUGAACCAGCCAAGUAGCGUGAAGGAAGACUGCCCUAUGGGUUGUAAACUUCUUUUAUAUGGGAGUAAAACAGGGUAUGCGUACCGUCUUGUAUGUACCAUAUGAAUAAGGAUCGGCUAACUCCGUGCCAGCAGCCGCGGUAAUACGGAGGAUCCGAGCGUUAUCCGGAUUUAUUGGGUUUAAAGGGAGCGUAGGUGGAUUGUUAAGUCAGUGGUGAAAGUUUGCGGCUCAACCGUAAAAUUGCAGUUGAAACUGGCAGUCUUGAGUACAGUAGAGGUGGGCGGAAUCCGUGGUGUAGCGGUGAAAUGCUUAG
RNAcentral lists this ribosomal RNA (358 nucleotides) under uncultured bacterium. RNAcentral's name for it is "partial 16S ribosomal RNA". It matches the Rfam family "Bacterial small subunit ribosomal RNA", at positions 338 to 693 of the family's 1533-position model. The record is from RNAcentral.